RNAcentral lists this transfer RNA (87 nucleotides) under Candidatus Endomicrobium embiratermitis. RNAcentral's name for it is "tRNA-Ser". It matches the Rfam family "tRNA". Rfam says of the family: Transfer RNA (tRNA) molecules are approximately 80 nucleotides in length. Lineage: Bacteria; Pseudomonadati; Elusimicrobiota; Endomicrobiia; Endomicrobiales; Endomicrobiaceae. RNAcentral also lists the same sequence under 2 other names. The record is from RNAcentral.
GGAGAGAUGUCCGAGCGGUUUAAGGAGGUAGUCUUGAAAACUACUGUAGGAGAAAUCCUACCGGGGGUUCGAAUCCCUCUCUCUCCG